This 519-nucleotide ribosomal RNA is filed under the name uncultured eukaryote. Its description in RNAcentral is "SSU rRNA". It matches the Rfam family "Eukaryotic small subunit ribosomal RNA", at positions 1161 to 1696 of the family's 1831-position model. The record is from RNAcentral.
AGGGCACCACCAGGAGUGGAGCCUGCGGCUUAAUUUGACUCAACACGGGGAAACUUACCCGGCCUGGACACUGGAAGGAUUGACAGAUUGAGAGCUCUUUCUUGAUUCAGUGGGUGGUGGUGCAUGGCCGUUCUUAGUUGGUGGAGCGAUUUGUCUGGUUAGUUCCGAUAACGAACGAGACUCUAGCCUAUUAAAUAGGCUCUCGGCUUUUAAACGCCGGGAGGACUUCUUAGAGGGACAGGUGGCGGUUCAGCCGCACGAAAGAGAGCAAUAACAGGUCUGUGAUGCCCUUUGUUGUUCGGGGCCGCACGCGCGCUACACUGAAGAGAUCAGCGUGCUUUACGUUCCUGCUCCGACCGGAGUGGGGAAACCAGUGAACCUUCUUCGUGAUUGGGAUAGAAGAUUGGUAUUAUUCUUCUUGAACGGAGGAAUUCCCAGUAAUGCGAGUCAUAAGCUCGCGUUUGAUUACGUCCCCUGCCCUUUUGUACACACCGCCCGUCGCUACUACCGAUUGAACGA